ACGGCCAUACCACAUUGAAAAAAGACCGGUUCUCAUCCGAUCACCGAAUUUAAGCAAUGUCAGGCCCGGGCAGUACUUGGGAGGGUGACCACCUGGGUACACCGGGUACUGUAGGCU
Non-coding RNA from Cordylochernes scorpioides, 117 nucleotides. The record is from the annotation of a GenBank genome assembly. Lineage: Eukaryota; Metazoa; Arthropoda; Arachnida; Pseudoscorpiones; Chernetidae.